Molecule: ribosomal RNA, 414 nt
Filed under: uncultured microorganism
Description: bacterial SSU rRNA
Rfam family: Archaeal small subunit ribosomal RNA
Source: RNAcentral
CAGCCGCCGCGGUAAUACCGGCGGCCCGAGUGGCGGUCACUAUUAUUGGGCUUAAAGCGUCCGUAGCCGGGUUGGGAAGUCCUCCGGGAAAUCUGGCCGCUUAACGGUCAGAAUGCCGGAGGAUACUCCCAGCCUAGGGAGCGGGAGAGGCCGAGGGGAUUCCCGGAGUAGGGGUGAAAUCCUAUAAUCCCGGGAGGACCACCUGUGGCGAAGGCGCUCGGCUGGAACGCGUCCGACGGUGAGGGACGAAGGCCAGGGGAGCAAACCGGAUUAGAUACCCGGGUAGUCCUGGCUGUAAACGAUGCGGACUUUGUGUCGGACAAGCUAUGAGCUUGUCCGGUGCCGGAGGGAAACCGUUAAGUCCGCCGCCUGGGGAGUACGGCCGCAAGGCUGAAACUUAAAGGAAUCGGCGGG